GACAGAGGCCCCGAGCGUUAGGCGGAAUCACUGGGCUUAAAGCGUGUGUAGGCGGACUUCUAAGUGCCUUGUGAAAUCCCACGGCUCAACCGUGGAACUGCUGGGCAUACUGGGAGUCUUGGGCCAUUCAGGGGCAACUGGAACAAGCGGUGGAGCGGUGAAAUGCGUAGAUAUCGCUUGGAACGCCGAAGGUGAAAACAGGUUGCUGGGGAUGUGCCGACGCUGAGACACGAAAGCCAGGGGAGCAAACGGG
This 253-nucleotide ribosomal RNA is filed under the name uncultured bacterium. RNAcentral's name for it is "partial 16S ribosomal RNA". It matches the Rfam family "Bacterial small subunit ribosomal RNA", at positions 524 to 776 of the family's 1533-position model. The record is from RNAcentral.